Molecule: ribosomal RNA, 253 nt
Filed under: uncultured bacterium
Lineage: Bacteria
Description: partial 16S ribosomal RNA
Rfam family: Bacterial small subunit ribosomal RNA
Source: RNAcentral
UACGAAGGGGGCUAGCGUUGCUCGGAAUCACUGGGCGUAAAGGGUGCGUAGGCGGGUCUUUAAGUCAGGGGUGAAAUCCUGGAGCUCAACUCCAGAACUGCCUUUGAUACUGAAGAUCUUGAGUGCGGGAGAGGAGAGUGGAAUUCCUGGUGUAGCGGUGGAAUGCGCAGAUAUCAGGAAGAACACCCGUGGCGAAGGCGGCUCUCUGGAACGCAACUGACGCUGAGACGCGAAAGCGUGGGGAGCAAACAGG